GGGGAACAUCAUAACAUGGUGGGAGGAGACAUUUGGUGACUGUUCACCCGUUUUCGUGUUUACUCCUGAGGUGGAAGGGCGAAGUUCCCCACUGGCUUGGAGACCAUUUGUUGGUCGACAAGUCAGCUUUCUUUGGUGUGUGAGCGUGCCACUGCUAGCAAUGUAAAUCCUAGCAGACUUCUUUUUAGAGUGGAUAACUUUCGCCCCAAGUUACUGACUUCUAAAACAAACGAUUGUGAAUUUGGGUGAGGAAUAUCUCCCAAGUAAGUUCUUUUCUUG
This 279-nucleotide long non-coding RNA is filed under the name Prunus persica (peach). RNAcentral's name for it is "long non-coding RNA (PPER_LNC001061)". The record is from RNAcentral. Lineage: Eukaryota; Viridiplantae; Streptophyta; Magnoliopsida; Rosales; Rosaceae.